Molecule: unclassified non-coding RNA, 412 nt
Filed under: soil metagenome
Description: partial contains 5.8S ribosomal RNA, internal transcribed spacer 2, and large subunit ribosomal RNA
Rfam family: 5.8S ribosomal RNA (bases 1-122)
Source: RNAcentral
GAUGAAGAACGUAGCGAAAUGCGAUACUUGGUGUGAAUUGCAGAAUCCCGUGAACCAUCGAGUCUUUGAACGCAAGUUGCGCCCGAAGCCGUCAGGCCGAGGGCACGCCUGCCUGGGCGUCACACGCCGUUGCCCCCCCGCGCCCCGCACCCAACGCUUUGGGAGCGACCGCGGGGCGGGCUGAUGAUGGCCUCCCGUGCGCUCCGCCGCGCGGUUGGCCCAAAUACCGAGUCCCCGGCGACGUGCGCCACGACGAUCGGUGGUUGAGAGACCUCUGUCGCAAGUCGUGCGCGCCCGUCGCGUCACGCGGGCUCGCAUAGCGCCUCGCGCCGCACACGGUGCGGAGCUUUCAACGCGACCCCAGGUCAGGCGGGGUUACCCGCUGAAUUUAAGCAUAUCAAUAAGCGGAGGA